GAUAAAGUGGCUGAGGGAUAGGCAAUAAAUUGUAAAUUUAUUAACGAAAUUUGAUUUUCCUUUAUCA
Molecule: transfer RNA, 67 nt
Filed under: Stenurella nigra
Lineage: Eukaryota; Metazoa; Arthropoda; Insecta; Coleoptera; Cerambycidae
Description: tRNA-Tyr
Rfam family: tRNA
About the family: Transfer RNA (tRNA) molecules are approximately 80 nucleotides in length.
Source: RNAcentral